Molecule: unclassified non-coding RNA, 710 nt
Filed under: Hevea brasiliensis (rubber tree)
Lineage: Eukaryota; Viridiplantae; Streptophyta; Magnoliopsida; Malpighiales; Euphorbiaceae
Source: RNAcentral
UGAACUUUGACUGCUACAACACCAACUUAUACAAGAAAAUGGAAGUUUAAGCAGUGGAUAAAAUCAUAGAAAUCUUUAUUCCACACAUAAGAAGAUACAUGUAAAUUGAUAAUAGUGCUCUAUAGGCAGAAGAGAUCAACACUAGUGUCCAAGGUCGAAGGUACAUAACACGCACUAGCCUGGCUGACCAGUUGAGCAAUGCUUUAAUUGUUCUCUGAAGGCAUACAGAAUCAUUAGAGUAUUUGAAAAAUUGUCUACCAUAUUUGAAAAACUCAAUGAAAUUGAAAGCUCAAUCUCAAUAAGACCAGCUGCAAUGAUGAUUUUUCAAAUGGACAGACAUUGCAUAAGCAGCGUACUCACAGCAACUACUUGCUCAUUAGGAUAAAAACUCCCGUAGGAUCCACUGUGCUAUUCUGGAAAUGUAAAAGUUACGAGCAGAGAAAAAAAAAUGCAACAUUUAAGGAAGAUAAGAACUCACCCUGCUCAUUCUUUUUGUUAUUACCAGUUCUUUGUCACUAGUCAAUGGUCAACCAGAUGUAAAAGCCCACUCCUUUUAUCUAGCACUCUUUGAAAAAUAUACCUGUACUUGAAUUAAAAAUUUUAGAAGCCAAACAUAAGAACGGGUUAAGGACCAAACUCAUUUGAUUGUUGAACUCCAAUUGUCCUAGUCCUACCCACUUCUAAGCAUGAUACAAAGGAUCUGCUCCCAA